CGCGCGUGACCGGACUGAGCAAAUUUGCUUUGGCCGCUUUCGUGCCCGAAGGAUUCAUCGAGCGUCCAAUGUAAAUUAACGAGAGCCAGACCUCGAGGGAACAACCUGGAAAUCCCGAGAAAAAUCCGGCUCGUGCUGUUUCGAAUCAACGUCAACAGAAUUAUCGCUUUUUAAAAGCAAUUAGUGGCCGACGUUGCGUCAGAUUGACAGUUAAAGAUGGACUUUUUUAUAUUGGACGAUUGAUACUCUUCCUCGGAUGUCCUUUUUUUAAAUGUAUGUUGUAUAUAUAUAAACAUUGUGUAUUGUGAAGUCCUGGAAAGAUAUAAAGAUAAAUUGAGGACAGUGGACACGGUUUUUGACAAGAUUUGAAAGAUUUGCGCUUUCCGUUAGAGAAGCAUUUCAAUCUUGGUAAAUCGAUCUAUUUCUAUUGUACUUUUAGAAUUAUGUCUUAUUUUAUUAUUACUUAUUGUACUAUUUACAAUUAUAUGAUUUUAUAUUGAUGCUAAAUGAUUUCUAAAAUUUAAUAAUUAAUGAUAAACAUCUUAAGCGAAU
This 552-nucleotide unclassified non-coding RNA is filed under the name Bombus terrestris (buff-tailed bumblebee). Its description in RNAcentral is "misc RNA ENSBTSG00005022898.1". The record is from RNAcentral. Lineage: Eukaryota; Metazoa; Arthropoda; Insecta; Hymenoptera; Apidae.